GGAUCUCUCUCUCUCUCUCUCUCUCAACAUUUUGCUGGAAAGCCCAUGCGUCUCUGGCGACGCACCAUCUUGUCUCCGCCGGCUUCCAAUUGUUCAAUUGCGCGUCUUCACCGGCACACCGUGGAAUAUGCUUUGGGAGACCAGAUCGGCGUCGAUGGCGGUCUUGCAGGACACGUCGUACAUGGAGGUCGGGACGAUGGUGGGAGCGGUGGAUCUGUGAUUCAGCUCCUCCAUGAAUAUCGAGAUCUUCAAGCUCGAGUUACAGUCAGACGAUCGUGAUCUUCAUGUAGUGGGCGAGUCGACGAGCUCUGAGAGAUUCAACAGGUUAUCGUGGUUCAAGCUCGCUGCUAGAUCAGGCUCUCAAGACUUUAGCCUUGGGCUUGUCACCGGUGCACUUGUCAAUGAGACUAUUGAUAUUUUGAAUCCACUUACUCUAAUCCGAAUUCUUCCCUUUUGCACUUGUAGUAAUAGACUUUGAAAAUCAUUUGAAUUUGGAUAUUGAAGCCUCCAUUGACCAAAAGAUCAUUCAGCUAACCAAGAAAUGUGGAAAUGAAGUCUCGUGCUGAAGGUGACAAAAUUAUGCCUAUGGGAUUAGGGCGUCACUAUAUAUUGAAAAAUGAUAGUAGCAUUACAACAUUGACAAUAGCUUUAUACAACUAUUGUAAUAGAUUUUCACAACUAUGGGAGCAGCUUUUUACAUUGUUAUAUCAUUGUUGAACCCUGCAUACGUUUUGUAUUAUUGAAUAUGAUAUCUUUUCUCGAUUGU
Long non-coding RNA from Rosa chinensis, 766 nucleotides. RefSeq lists it as uncharacterized. The record is from RefSeq and is a predicted model, not a curated record. Lineage: Eukaryota; Viridiplantae; Streptophyta; Magnoliopsida; Rosales; Rosaceae. The transcript has 3 exons.